GACGAACGCUGGCGGCGUGCUUAACACAUGCAAGUCGAGCGGUAAGGCCCUUUCGGGGGUACACGAGCGGCGAACGGGUGAGUAACACGUGGGUGACCUGCCCUCAGCUCUGGGAUAAGCCUGGGAAACCGGGUCUAAUACCGGAUAUGACCCCAUGACGCAUGUCGUGGGGUGGAAAGCCUUGUGCGGCUGAGGAUGGGCCCGCGGCCUAUCAGCUUGUUGGUGGGGUGAUGGCCACCAAGGCGACGACGGGUAGCCGGCCUGAGAGGGCGACCGGCCACACUGGGACUGAGACACGGCCCAGACUCCUACGGGAGGCAGCAGUGGGGAAUCUUGCGCAAUGGGCGAAAGCCUGACGCAGCGACGCCGCGUGAGGGAUGACGGCCUC
RNAcentral lists this ribosomal RNA (388 nucleotides) under uncultured bacterium. Its description in RNAcentral is "bacterial SSU rRNA". It matches the Rfam family "Bacterial small subunit ribosomal RNA", at positions 28 to 418 of the family's 1533-position model. The record is from RNAcentral.